GAUGAACGCUGGCGGCGUGCCUAAUACAUGCAAGUCGAGCGAACGGACGAGAAGCUUGCUUCUCUGAUGUUAGCGGCGGACGGGUGAGUAACACGUGGAUAACCUACCUAUAAGACUGGGAUAACUUCGGGAAACCGUAGCUAAUACCGGAUAAUAUUUUGAACCGCAUGGUUCAAAAGUGAAAGACGGUCUUGCUGUCACUUAUAGAUGGAUCCGCGCUGCAUUAGCUAGUUGGUAAGGUAACGGCUUACCAAGGCAACGAUGCAUAGCCGACCUGAGAGGGUGAUCGGCCACACUGGAACUGAGACACGGUCCAGACUCCUACGGGAGGCAGCAGUAGGGAAUCUUCCGCAAAGGGCGAAAGCAUGACGGAGCAACGCCGCGUGAGUGAUGAAGGUCUUCGGAUCGUAAAACUCUGUUAUUAGGGAAGAACAUAUGUGUAAGUAACUGUGCACAGCUUGACGGUACCUAAUCAGAAAGCCACGGCUAGCUACGUG
Molecule: ribosomal RNA, 497 nt
Filed under: uncultured bacterium
Lineage: Bacteria
Description: partial 16S ribosomal RNA
Rfam family: Bacterial small subunit ribosomal RNA
Source: RNAcentral